UCCACUAAACCUUAUCAUUUAG
RNAcentral lists this non-coding RNA (22 nucleotides) under Arabidopsis thaliana (thale cress). The record is from RNAcentral. Lineage: Eukaryota; Viridiplantae; Streptophyta; Magnoliopsida; Brassicales; Brassicaceae.